This 90-nucleotide transfer RNA is filed under the name Actinomycetes bacterium. RNAcentral's name for it is "Actinobacteria bacterium tRNA-Ser". It matches the Rfam family "tRNA". Rfam says of the family: Transfer RNA (tRNA) molecules are approximately 80 nucleotides in length. Their secondary structure includes four short double-helical elements and three loops (D, anti-codon, and T loops). Lineage: Bacteria; Bacillati; Actinomycetota; Actinomycetes. The record is from RNAcentral.
GGCGGGGUGCCGGAGCGGUCGAACGGGGCGGUCUUGAAAACCGUUGGCCCUGCAAGGGGCCCGUGAGUUCGAAUCUCACCCCCGCCGCUA